AGUGGGGAAUCUUGCGCAAUGGGCGGAAGCCUGACGCAGCAACGCCGCGUGUGGGAAGACGGCCUUCGGGUUGUAAACCACUUUCAGGGGGGACGAAGCUUCCGAGGUUAAUAGCCUACGGGGUGACGGUACCCCCAGAAGAAGCCCCGGCUAACUACGUGCCAGCAGCCGCGGUAAUACGUAGGGGGCGAGCGUUGUCCGGAAUCAUUGGGCGUAAAGCGCGUGUAGGCGGCUCGGUCAGUCUGGUGUGAAAACUUGGGGCUCAACCCCAAGCCUGCACUGGAUACUGCUGGGCUUGAGUCCGGGAGGGGAGAGCGGAAUUCCUAGUGUAGCGGUGAAAUGCGCAGAUAUUAGGAAGAACACCGGUGGCGAAGGCGGCUCUCUGGAACGGUACUGACGCUGAGACGCGAAAGCGUGGGGAGCGAA
RNAcentral lists this ribosomal RNA (426 nucleotides) under uncultured Thermoleophilia bacterium. RNAcentral's name for it is "bacterial SSU rRNA". It matches the Rfam family "Bacterial small subunit ribosomal RNA", at positions 353 to 772 of the family's 1533-position model. Lineage: Bacteria; Bacillati; Actinomycetota; Thermoleophilia. The record is from RNAcentral.